RNAcentral lists this ribosomal RNA (2325 nucleotides) under Triticum aestivum (bread wheat). RNAcentral's name for it is "partial small subunit ribosomal RNA". The record is from RNAcentral. Lineage: Eukaryota; Viridiplantae; Streptophyta; Magnoliopsida; Poales; Poaceae.
CUCGAUUGCAGAGAGGAAUUUCAUUCGGCUGUUAAAUCGGGGGCAAGGGGUUGAGCGGGGCGCCGCCGAGGAAGGAAGGGCGCCGAGCAGCCGCCUGGCCUGGCCUGACCAUCCCACGCGAGGAAGACGGCGCCGGCCUUAUAGGCGGAGCGCCCGUCUCGCCGGCGACGACCGCCACCAUGGCAUUCGCGGGCCUGGAGCUGCGGUACCCCAGGGCGCUCGACCCCCACCCGAAUUGGACGCUCGGCGACGCCCUCACCGACGCCACCCGCCGCUCCGCGCCGCCCACGCCCCUCAAGCAGCCGCCGGAGUGGGCUAGCGGUGGCGACAUGAGGGAGAAGGCCUUUGUGAUGCGGGUCGAGGAGGAAGACGGCUCGGAAGAGGAAGACGACAACACCGAUGAGGAUGCCCAUGCUCUUGUGACCACCGGGGCGAGGUUCCCAUGCAAUGAUCUCGAAUGCAGUGGAUUUGAAGAUUCUGGAGAUGAAGUAGAUUGCAGCAGUGCACCAUAUCACCUGAUGGAGAAAAGGAGCCUAGAGAAGAGCAUUCUGCUUGUGCUGGAACUUGAGCAUCAUCUGAAAAUUGAAGAGGAAGUAAGAAGUAAGCUAUCUUCAUUGGAGCUAUGCCAUCAAAAUGAAAUCCAGAGAACAAUUUCUGCAUUUGCCCGACUUCAGAAAUAUGCAGAAUCACGAAAAGAGAUAGAUAGAAGGCUGGAUGUCCAGUUCCAGAGAAAAAUUGCAGAAGUACUCGAUAAACACUUGUCUAUGGUACAAAGGGAUCAUGGACAGAAAUCCCAGAUUGUGGAACGUAGAAUAAGAGAUGAUGCAGCUGUUGAAGAAGCUAAAAGGGAGCAAUCUAUGAAGGAAGAAAAAGUAAAUCAGGAAAGGACUAGAAAAGAAGCAGAGGCCCGGCAGAAGGCAGCUGGAAAAUUAGCAGCUGAAGCACAGAAAGCAGCAUACGAGGGAGCUGCUAUAUUGAGGGUAGAGACAGUUUCUACAUCUAGCCAAAUUUCUCAGAACAGUGUUUCUCAUGCAACAAUGGUGAACAACAUUGGAGUCAAAUCAGAAUUACCAGGAAUCAAAGUUUUUGCUGAUAGUAUCGCAUUAGAAGCGGAAUUGCGGAGGCGCGCAUUACAUGACCAAGUGUCUUCAAAUAUUUACCUAAGCAAGGAGUAUAGCCAAUAUGGCCGACAAAUUGGAAAGUCUAUUGGUAAACUUACGCCAACUACUGACAGUGUCAAAGCCAGGGCUAGUGAGCUUAUUGAAGCUUUAGAUGGACAAGAUUGUCCUCAUCCAAUUGCUUGUCGUUUAUUUGCAGACAAGAUGAUUUCAAUAGUCAAGAGUCGAAAUACAAAGGACAAAACCUUUGGACCGUUAGCUUUGCUUGUGGCUAUGUAAUGCUACUAGUCACUAAUCAGGUACCAGAUGCGAUGGAUUAUCUCCUAGCCGAGUUCCACAAAGUUUGCAUGUACACAGUUCCAAAGCACCUGCAUGCUUUAAAUGCACAAGCACGAAACUCGGAUUACUACAGGCUUAUUGGCUACCAGGAAGAAGUUGAAAAAUCUCAGAGCACUGAGUCGUAUUUGGUAAAUGUUGUUGCAUACGUCAAACUGUAUGCUGCCAUGAUUCAGACAGAAAUCAAGGGCGUGCGGCAUCCACAUGGCUUAGCCGAGGGAUGGAAAUGGCUCGCGAUGUUCCUCAAUACGCUCCCAGCCAUCACAGCCACAGCUUUCGCCCUUCAUGCUUUCCUCAAGAUGGCCGGUUUCGCGCUUCACAAGAAGUAUGGUUCGCAGUUCAUGAAGAUCCUAGAUGUAAUAUCCCGGCGCUUCAUACCGGCUUUGAAAGAACAAGGCGUGAAGGUUCAGGCAGAGGCUAUCAGCAAUCUACAGAAUUAUCUGAACGACAAGGUUUAUCUGGAGGAGCCGGAAGGGCGGUACCUUGCCCAGCACCUGCUGUCGAAAGUGUUCAUGUGUGAAGAUCAACACCGGAUGGCUACCAGUGCUCCGGUUUCGUCGAGGGAGUAAGCUGACGUGUGGAGAAGCCCCCAAAUCGGCUGAAUAUCAUCUUAGAUGGUAAACUCGGAUGUAGUAGAAGUGCCACUUGGUAGAGGUCACCCGAUUCGCUGUAAUUUACGCCUGCACGUACUGCGAGGCACAGGUAUAUCUUGUCUAUAUCAGAUUCAUGUCAACAUUCUUCUGAAUGUAAGUAGUCAUCAACUCAACAAGACCGUGCACCAUUAUACUAGUACUUAAGAUUUUUGCAAAAAUUAAAUAGAAAACUCUAGUACUUAAGUGGCACGUUUUUCUGUAUUUUUUCUUGAUUUUCC